Phasianus colchicus (ring-necked pheasant) is the source of this 6289-nucleotide RNA transcript. It is a transcript of the gene named zinc finger protein 469, with no coding region annotated. The record is from RefSeq and is a predicted model, not a curated record. Lineage: Eukaryota; Metazoa; Chordata; Aves; Galliformes; Phasianidae.
GAGCUGGCUUUUAUUUCUCCUUGCCAGCACCAGGAAGGGAGUUGGAUAGGGAGCCCUUCCCUCUUGUGAAAGUCUUUUGCCUGGAUUUGGGUUGCUUGGUGCUGUGCUUGGGCUGAUGGUGACCUCGUGGAGUUCAUCACCACCUUUGGGACAUGGCUGCAGUCCUCAGCAUCUCCCAGCACUGCCCUCGCUUUCCAGAGCGGCACCUACGAGCCCAGCAGGAUUAUUGAUUCAACACGCUGAUUCUGUCCUGUGUGAACCCAUCUCCUGGAUGCCAGCACCAGAGAUUUUGGAGGUGUAGGAGGCCAAGGCUGCACAAAGGGCACCGUCUCUCCUGCUGAUUGCCAUUGCAUUCCUGCGUUCUGCAUUGCUGUGCCCGUGCAGAGGGCUGGGGUUGCCUUCCCAGCUGUUUCUUAUCACGGAUGCAUCGCGUCAGGAGGGAAGCCCCUCGUGUGACCUGAGACAUCCCACACUCCUGAAGCGUCUGCAGCGCUGCAAUACUUCUUGUCAAACUGAUCCUCGACCUCCUUUCAUCGCUUUAAGGUUACGGUGCUCCCUGGUGACUGCAGGGUGUGAGGCAAUGCUGAGUUCUGGCUAUGCAAUUAAACUGCAUGAAGCGCUUCACCCACUUAUGUGAUCGUUUUCAUAUGUUUUCUUAUUGGUAUUUACUACAAUACGUUACAUUCCGCUAUUUCCGCUUGGAAACGAGCGUUUGGCUGCAGGAGCAGAGAGGGGAGAAGAAAGGGAGUCAGAUCUGCCCUCUUGCCACAGGGGGAAGGCAAAUUGCUGAGCAAACGAUGAGCGCAGCGGGCACCCAGCCACUCCUCGCCGCGCUCGGGCUCAGCCACCAUCAACGUUUUUCCAUCUCGAAUUCGCCGAUCCGCUGCGCUGCUCUUUCUGACCACACUCCUUUGUUUAUUCCCCAACCGCUUCAGAUGAGCAAAUCUGCACUGGCAAGAACAUUUGUGGGAAAGCAACAUCACGUCGCAUACUUGCGCGAGUAAAUAUUCACAGGAGGAUCCACGUCGAAAGCGCUCGCACGGCCGUCGGCGAAUUCUCUCCCAGUUACUCAGCAGAGAGAGCUGUUGAAUGUCUAUAGCUGUUCGGUGGGCAACUGGCAGGCGGGUUGGGAAGACGUGUGACGUAUCAAAGCCUUUGAUCAUCAGUGCUGUUCCUAUCAGGGAUAGGAAUGAAAGCAUCUGCCCUGGGUUGACUGAUGGAGUGGCGCUUCGUAGCCACGCAUUGGGUCUGCCCAUGUAGGCUGCUCAUCAGAGCUGAGUGCGUGUGGAUGGGCUGUUCAUAGAUUGUUAUGGCUUCAGCUGGGGGCUGGGUUUGCAGGAUAAAUGAGCAGAGCGUUACUUGACCGACAUGAAGGGAAUAUGAAGACUUUAUUUACCUUUCAAUUCUGAGUGUUCUUGUUAGCAAUUAAUGUGUGCGCUUCUGGAGAGCUGCUACUGAGUGAUGAUUAUCUCAUGGGAUUCCCAAAUUCUCUGCUCUGAGUGCCCUGUUCUCAUAGAUGCUGUUGUCUGGUUUUCUGUUUUGGAAAAAGCAGCUCUUGCCUUUGACACCCAGAUAGACUGGGCUUCCCAAGAGUGAACUGUUGCUGCUUGAUUGACUGCUCUGUUUUCCUGGGAGUUUCUCUGUAGAGGAGAAGAAAGCACUGAUAAAUUGUUCCAGUUGUGGACAAACGUGGGUUUUGUUGGAUGCUUUUUUAUGGAGGCCGACUGCCGUGCAGAACUUGUUAUUCUUUCAGUUGGUUGACAAAGGUGGGUGAAAUACAGCUGGGUACUUUUUGGAAGUGCUGGACUUGAGUCUUAAGAAAGCAAUUAGCAUUUUACAGCAUCAAGCACACAUACCAAGCGGAUUAAGAAUUGGCUGCUACAUCUGAGAAAAGAGUCAUCAUCAGGGAACCCUCAUGAAAUAAGAGAGGUUGCUAGCUGGGCCGUGUGGAGUUUGGCACAUUGUUAUUCCAUCGUCUCAUCAGCAACCUAGAGUCAAGAUGGAAUUACUGCUGAUAAAGCUUUUGUACAGCUCAUGCUUUGGCUGGGAAGCGCGGAGCAGGGAGCGCAGAAGCGAUGCCAUGUGGUCUGGAAGGCUUUGGUGAGCUCAGCCCACGGAAACUCAUCGUGCUUUGAUGCAGAUGCAGUUCCACAUCUGAGAGCUGUGCAGGCAGGAGGUACCUGUGAUAAAUAAUCGUGCCAAAGGAUGGGGCUGUCACAGAAUGAGGUCCCCGUGUUCCUAGCUGGCAAAAAAAGAGGUCAUGGCAGUGCUGGGCUGUGCGUAUAGGAGGGCUGCGUGUUCUCAUCAUGCUAUGGGUUGGAUCUUGUUUAUUUUGCAAAGGGCUGUGAAUGCAGUCAAGGGGGAAGGGGAAAGCUAUAGAUAAACAGUGUGAGAGCUGGGGGAAGCGAGAUAUUUAACCCACUGAAUUUAUGGGGAAAAAAAUGAAGUGAUUUGGUAUUUAUGCACAGGGAUAAUUGGGGGGGGAAGCUUUGGAAACAAGGCAAUGCAAAUCCUAGCUGGAAGCAGAAACUAACACAUUGACUUAGAUGUGAAGCAUGUAUUUGAGUACAAGCACUACAGAGGACUUAGCAUCUCUUAAUGCUUGGCAAAUGGAGGCUGUGUGCCCAGGGAGGGACGUUUAGCCAGAGCUCAAACGAGGUUGUGGUUGUAGGGCUUCAGUUUUUGGGCUUGGCACAGCUGGGUGCUUGGAUGACUGUAGUGGUUGGUGUGCUGCAGGAGGUCAGAAUGAUAGCACCAUCCCUGCAGGACUCCAGUGCGUUUGUCCAUAAAGCUUUGCAAACUCUGUUAUAUUCCAAUGGAAAGAAUUGAUGUUUUUGGGAGGAGGGACUGAGACUUGUGACCAUGACCACGUCUUCGUUGGCUGGAGCGUGGCACCAGGCAGUGCAGGCACUGCUAUUUUCACAUCUUCUCUGGUACCUUCUCCAGGAGUUGAAGCACUUGGGGCUGGUGUGUGCUAUCAGCUAUAGGGCUCUGGAGUUUUCCCUUGUCACAGCUCAUGGUAAAUGAUAACUAGGUCGAAGGCUGGCCAAAUAAAGCAGUUUUUAUUAAGCAUCUUAAGUCGUCUUUACAAAGCGGUGUGGUUUUUCACCUUGUUGCAGGAGCUCUGAGGUAUAGGCCAACUGUUGAGGCAAGGGAGGCUCUUGGUGUGUUUAUCCUUCCUUUCAUCUCUAUCUUCUCUUCGAGACACCUAGCUCGGAGAUGCUCUGCUAUUUCCCAGACCUCGUAUCAAAAGAGGUGCUUGCAGUGAGGCAGAGCCGUGAUCAUCUUUCCCCUUCCCCACUCUCCCAAUAUCUCCUACACCAUCCCCUGAAGAAAGCAUUCCUUUUAGUAAAAGAAAACAUUUUUGGUUUUUUAUUUAGAAGCAUGUUCUCAGAUCAAGUGCAUUGCUUGUGAUUUCUGGUUCUCAUCCACUGCUAUGCUAUGUUGUGGUGGAGCAGGGGGGACUGAUCUCAGUGAUGUUCUGUUCCCUGGAGAUCCUUAAGCCAACAGUGCCUUUCUGGCAGCCCAACAGGAGCCCACUCUUCUUCUUGAUCAAAUUCCGUUUUGCUUCUAUUAUUGUGGAAUUGAGCAAGCAGGAGAUUGCUCACUUUCUGGUUUAAUCAUCACUGUUGCGUUAAAUGGUUCCCAGAUCGGAGCUUAGUGCCUCUAAGCAAUAGGUAAAAUAAUCUUCUCUAUCUGCAUCCCUUUGGAAUAGGGAUGAAGGAUGCUGUUUGUUGCUGUGAUGUUGUUACCUCCGCAGCUCUCGUGGCCUGGAGACAGCAGGCUUGGGCUCCAUGACUGGCGAUUAGGGGUUUUGGUGGUGCUCAUUCUUUGUUGUUGUCGUUUGGCUGCAGAUGGGGAGGAAAUACCUUGGUGUUGUCAGCUGAAAUGUAAACAGAGCGGCCAUCAGCAGUCAGGAGUCAUUGAGGUUCAUCUGCUCUUGCGUUCCCUCGUAACCAUGGGAGAAGCAGAUUAACGUGAAGAACACUGAUGCAUGCAUGUGGUUUUGUGCAUUUAAAGCUAACCAGAUGUUUGAAACAUCUUUCUGAAAUACAGAUGAUGAUAUAAUGACUCCAUAGCAAUAGAGAGCGUUGGCAAGGGAGACUUGAAUAUCCCCCAGUGUGGCAUGUAGCGAUGAACUCCUGAUUCGUAGGCUCAGAUGAGUUCAGGAAGUUCACAGGCCAUGUAAGGACAACAAAUCUUUGUUCCAGGCAUGUGCUUUGUCCUUGGUAACACAAACACUGCUGGACUGAGGCCGUCUUCAGGUUAUUUAAUACAAGGAAAGCCUCCACUGGCCGAUAGACUUGGCACUUGCGGGAUGCCUCUCAUCCAGAAGCUUUAUACAACGCUCCUGCUGGGAAGUCCUGUUGUUGGAUGGGGCAGAGGGAUGGGCUGGGAUGCUGUGUAGGAUGGAUGGGCUAGGCUGCCACGUGGGUUGGAGGGAUGGAAUGGUGGGAGAUGGGGUGGGAUGCCAUGUGGGAUGGAGGGUUGGUGUGGGCUGAGAUGCCAUGUAGGACUGAGGGUUGGCAUAGGCUGGGGUGCCAUGUAGGAUGGAGAGAUGAGCUGCCUGUGGUCACCAGUGCUCAGUAGGGCUGAGGCACAAUGCUCUGCUUGUCCUAUGGUGAAGGGCUCAUUCUUGUGUACAAAGAGGAGAAAGCAUUUGAGAGGCAGACACACAAUGAUUAGGCAGAUACGGGGUUUGGCCUCUUACAUUUUAGCUUUGUAAAUCUUAUAGGUGAAGAAGGGAGUAAUAAAGUGCUCUGGGAUGCAGGUAAUCGGAUACGAAGGCAUUGGCCACAGUUCCUAUUGCUAUUGUCUUUGGAGGAGCCGUGCCUAUAUUUCUCUUUAUAUCAAAUGAACAGAUAGCAAUUUCCUGCCUCACUUGUGUUUCCAGGCCGUAGUCUGCUGCUGUCUUUCCCCUGUAGCAGAAACAUAUGGUGGUGAGAGGAAUGCGGCGUCUGUCAACGCGUGCUGCAGGAGGAAUAAGGAAGCCUAAAAGCGGGGCUUAAUGGGGGGGGGUGCCUGUGUUUUAAAUAAUAAAAACGUCUUUCCCGCUAAUUUGGUUUGGGUGAAUUACAGGAGGAGGGGAGGAAGGCUGUAGGCAAUAAUGCGUGUUGUACUCAGGGAGUGGUGAGCGUCACAAAUGCAGCAGCAGUUGGAGGGAUGUCAGUCUGGGGGCAAAGCUGAAAGCACAGCCUAUGCUUUGCCUGGCAGAUCUGGGAUGGCUUUGCUAAAACGAAGGAACUUCUGCAGUGUUUAUUCUGGAGGAGCAGCAGCUCUGUGUGCUUCCUAACCUCGUACACCUGCUUGCUGCUCUGCUGCUCUGCUUCUGUUCCUUCCACGUCCCCUGCACCCAACUGACAGCAGACUGAGGUCCUGGGAGCGUUGGCACUCCUCUGCCUGAUGCACAAGUCUGAGGCCUCGGUGGUGUCACUGCUUUGCAACCAGUUGCUUUGCUGCUGGAUUCAAUUAGAGGUUCCUUCAGCCUCACAUACUCAAAUUAGAGUGUUUGUUUCAUCCUGAAAUAUUCAGCCAAGCUCCAAUUCCUUACCCGGCUUGGGCUGGACUUCAUGUUCCUCUGAAGCUCUUUGUGCCACAAUCAGUCCAGCACUGAUACCCCCAGCAUAAAGCUGGUGUGUCCUGCACUGUCAUCUCUGGGUUUCUAAUAGGAAAGUGCUAAUGCUGAACAGUUGUGGUAAGAUAAUUGGCUUUUUCUUCUCGUUUUCUGUUCGUGACAAGUGAUCACCUGAGGUGUUUGCAGAUGCUGAGCCAACUGCUGGGUUUGCCUUUGGCUGCACGGUGAAUUCCUUGGAGGAGGUUUAAUUGUGUGAUGCUCACACGGAGUUCCAUCCGCAGCACAAUUAAUUUGUGCUCCGACCCCUGAGCUACAGAACAGUGCCCUCUCGUGUGCAGCACAGAGAUGAGCUGCAAUGAUGGCCUUUCACAGAACCAGAUGUGUUUUUUGGAGAGCUGGUGAGAAAUCGGGACUGACCAUCUCUGUGCUUUUGCUCUGCCUGCUUUUCUGUGAGGCAUCGUGGCCUUGGAGGCUUUUGUGAAUGGAUAAUUCAAGCUAUGUAAGCAAAUAUGUCCUUCUAAGCUGUUUGUAAUCAAUGAAUCAGUGCACUGCACGACUUCAGGAAUAGGGGAGAACAGCUGGCAGGUUUCACCUGUUUUCCUUCUGCUCACACACCAGGGCUAGCAGUAAUGUCAGAAGUUUGCACGCAGGCAGCAGCAUCUGUGCUCAUAUACCAGUAUACCAAAAACUGUAGAGGAAGGUGUAGAAGAUGAC